AUGGCGAGUGGCGAACGGGUGAGUAAUAUAUCGGAACGUGCCCUAGAGUGGGGGAUAACUAGUCGAAAGACUAGCUAAUACCGCAUACGAUCUAAGGAUGAAAGUGGGGGAUCGCAAGACCUCAUGCUCGUGGAGCGGCCGAUAUCUGAUUAGCUAGUUGGUGGGGUAAAAGCCUACCAAGGCAACGAUCAGUAGCUGGUCUGAGAGGACGACCAGCCACACUGGGACUGAGACACGGCCCAGACUCCUACGGGAGGCAGCAGUGGGGAAUUUUGGACAAUGGGGGCAACCCUGAUCCAGCAAUGCCGCGUGAGUGAAGAAGGCCUUCGGGUUGUAAAGCUCUUUUGUCAGGGAAGAAACGGUUCUGGAUAAUACCUAGGACUAAUGACGGUACCUGAAGAAUAAGCACCGGCUAACUACGUGCCAGCAGCCGCGGUAAUACGUAGGGUGCAAGCGUUAAUCGGAAUUACUGGGCGUAAAGCGUGCGCAGGCGGUUGUGUAAGUCAGAUGUGAAAUCCCCGGGCUCAACCUGGGAAUUGCAUUUGAGACUGCACGGCUAGAGUGUGUCAGAGGGGGGUAGAAUUCCACGUGUAGCAGUGAAAUGCGUAGAUAUGUGGAGGAAUACCGAUGGCGAAGGCAGCCCCCUGGGAUAACACUGACGCUCAUGCACGAAAGCGUGGGGAGCAAACAGGAUUAGAUA
Molecule: ribosomal RNA, 700 nt
Filed under: Herbaspirillum sp. EECC-493
Lineage: Bacteria; Pseudomonadati; Pseudomonadota; Betaproteobacteria; Burkholderiales; Oxalobacteraceae
Description: bacterial SSU rRNA
Rfam family: Bacterial small subunit ribosomal RNA
Source: RNAcentral